Molecule: ribosomal RNA, 1480 nt
Filed under: uncultured bacterium
Lineage: Bacteria
Description: bacterial SSU rRNA
Rfam family: Bacterial small subunit ribosomal RNA
Source: RNAcentral
GACGAACGCUGGCGGCGUGCUUAACACAUGCAAGUCGAACGAGGCCGGGUCUUCGGACCCGAGUCGAGUGGCGGACGGGCGCGUAACACGUGAGUGACCUGACCUUGUGUGGGGGACAACCCGGGGAAACCCGGGCUAAUACCGCAUGGGCGCAGCGCCUUUCGGGGUGCAGCGUGAAAGCCGGCCUAUCCAUGGAAGCUGGCGCGCAGGGAGGGGCUCGCGGCGUAUCAGCUGGUUGGUGAGGUAACGGCUCACCAAGGCGACGACGCGUAGCGGGUCUGAGAGGACGACCCGCCACAUUGGAACUGAGACACGGUCCAGACUCCUACGGGAGGCAGCAGUGGGGAAUAUUGGGCAAUGGCCGCAAGGCUGACCCAGCGACGCCGCGUGCGGGAUGACGCUUUUCGGAGUGUAAACCGCUGUCAGAGGGGAAGAAGACCUUCGAGGUGAAUAAUCUCGAGGGCUGACGGUACCUUCAGAGGAAGCACCGGCUAACUCCGUGCCAGCAGCCGCGGUAAGACGGAGGGUGCGAGCGUUGUUCGGAAUUACUGGGCGUAAAGCGCGCGCAGGCGGGUGCGCAAGUCGGAGGUGAAAGCGCAGGGCUCAACCCUGCGACGCCCUCCGAGACUGCGUGUCUAGGGACCGGUAGAGGUGAGUGGAAUUCCCGGUGUAGCGGUGGAAUGCGUAGAUAUCGGGAAGAACACCGGAGGCGAAGGCGGCUCACUGGGCCGGAUCCGACGCUGAGGCGCGAAAGCGUGGGGAGCAAACAGGAUUAGAUACCCUGGUAGUCCACGCCGUAAACGAUGGGUGCUAGGUGUCGGGGGGGAGCGACCCCCUCGGUGCCGCAGCUAACGCAUUAAGCACCCCGCCUGGGGAGUACGGCCGCAAGGCUGAAACUCAAAGGAAUUGACGGGGGCCCGCACAAGCGGUGGAGCAUGUGGUUCAAUUCGACGCAACGCGAAGAACCUUACCGGGGUUUGAACUGUACGGGACAGCUCUAGAGAUAGAGUCUUCCUUCGGGACCCGUAUAGAGGUGCUGCAUGGCUGUCGUCAGCUCGUGUCGUGAGAUGUUGGGUUAAGUCCCGCAACGAGCGCAACCCUUGCCUCCUGUUGCUAACGAGUAAAGUCGAGCACUCUGGAGAGACUGCCGGUGAUAAACCGGAGGAAGGUGGGGAUGACGUCAAGUCCUCAUGGCCUUUAUGCCCCGGGCUACACACGUGCUACAAUGGCUGGUACAAAGGGUUGCAAAACCGCGAGGUGGAGCUAAUCCCAAAAAGCCAGUCCCAGUUCGGAUUGCAGUCUGCAACUCGACUGCAUGAAGUUGGAAUCGCUAGUAAUCGCGGAUCAGCACGCCGCGGUGAAUACGUUCCCGGGCCUUGUACACACCGCCCGUCACAUCACGAAAGCCGGCUGUACUAGAAGUCGCUGAGCUGACCCGUAAGGGGGGCAGGCGCCCACGGUAUGGUCGGUGAUUGGGGUG